UACGUAGGGUCCGAGCGUUGUCCGGAUUUAUUGGGCGUAAAGAGCUCGUAGGCGGUUCCGUAAGUCAGAUGUGAAAACUCAGGGCUCAACCCGGAGACGCCAUCUGAUACUGCGGUGACUCGAGUCUGGUAGGGGAACACGGAAUUCCUGGUGUAGCGGUGAAAUGCGCAGAUAUCAGGAGGAACACCGAUGGCGAAGGCAGUGUUCUGGGCCAGUACUGACGCUGAGGAGCGAAAGCGUGGGGAGCAAA
This 250-nucleotide ribosomal RNA is filed under the name uncultured bacterium. RNAcentral describes it as "partial 16S ribosomal RNA". It matches the Rfam family "Bacterial small subunit ribosomal RNA", at positions 524 to 772 of the family's 1533-position model. The record is from RNAcentral.